Helicoverpa zea (corn earworm) is the source of this 1268-nucleotide RNA transcript. It is a transcript of the gene named pancreatic lipase-related protein 2-like, with no coding region annotated. The record is from RefSeq and is a predicted model, not a curated record. Lineage: Eukaryota; Metazoa; Arthropoda; Insecta; Lepidoptera; Noctuidae. The transcript is spliced from 8 exons.
GGGGAAACAGCAAGUAUUAUCACAAAUCUGAGAUAAUAAUUAUCAUAAUCAAGAAAUAAUUAGCAGUCAACAAAUUAAUUAGUAUUAGUAUAUCGUGAGCCAUGCAGACCUAUAGUACUAUAUUGUUUUGUGUCUUCGCGGCUGUAUCAGCGCUCCCUCACGACCCGAUCCUCAGAAAGCUUGACGAUGGAGCUCGCUACCAAUACGUGCAAGGUUCUGAUGGCACUCCUCACUUAGUAGACUUAUGGAUGAAGGCCAGUGACGUGGCUGAGGCGGCCAGAUAUAAUCCUGAGAGACAGAAUGUCUACCAUUUGUUUACCAGACAAAACCCAACAGUAAGUCAGCCAAUGCUGAUAGGUAAUGAGGGACUACUAGGUCUGAACAACUACAAUCCGGCUAGGCGGACCGUUGUGUUGCUGCACGGAUGGCUCGCUGAUGUCACUUCAGACUUCAACACUGUGUUGGUACCAGCGUUCCUGUCAGCUGAGGACGUGAACGUGAUCGUGGUGGACUGGAGCGCGGGCGCUGGCACCAUCAACUAUGCCGCUGCCGUCGCCAACACCGUGCCUUCUGGUGAAAGCGUAGCAAACUUCAUCGAGUGGUUGAACUCCGUCACCGGAGCUAGUCCUGCUAUGUACCACAUCGUAGGACACAGCAUCGGCGCUCACCAGGCUGGUAUCAUCGGCAGGAAUGUGGGAGGGAACAUUGCUUAUAUUACUGCUCUCGAAGCAGCUCUCCCCGGCUGGAUUACAAACGACGACAAGUUCCGCCCAUCAGACGGGGUCUACACUGAAGUUAUUCACACAAACGCCGGGGUCUUGGGCUACAUGAGCACUUUGGGGGACGCCGACUUCUACCCCAAUGGGGGAAUUAACAUGCCCGGGUGUAACUCUCAGGAGUGCGAUCAUGCUAGGUCAUAUUUCUACCUAGCGGAAUCGCUAACAUCGGCCGGCUUCACCGGACGUCGCUGCGCGUCGUUUGUCACCGCUAUGACCGGCAACUGUUUCCUAUGGGGGAAUCUGAGGAUGGGGGGAUUAGUGCCGAAGACUGGGUGAGAGCAAUCUUUAGUUGUUUUUAGUCACAGCCGAAAAAAGUCAAAACGUCACGUCAAACGUCAAUAGUUUCAAAUAAUUUAAUGUAUUUUCAUUUUUCAGACAAUCUGGAAUCUUCUACUUGGAGACCAACGCGUCGCCGCCAUUUUCACGAGGCUAAGAAAUUAAUGGACAAGAAAACCGAACAAAUAAAAUAAAUGACUGAUUUAUCACACA